GUGAAAAAAACAAAAAGAAGCCUUCAAUUUGAUUUGAUUUAUUCAUAUUAACACAGGAAAAGCAUAGGGGGAUGUUUUGGUGCUGAUUGUAGAGGCUCUAUGAACAAUAUAUUAGGGGAUUUUAGGCUGAAUCUUUAAUGUGUAAUUGUUGCAGGGUUGGUUAGGUUAGCAAAUGGUUUGGUGCUGAUUGUAGAGGCUCUAUGAACAAUAUAUUAGGGGAUUUUAGGCUGAAUCUUUAAUGUGUAAUUGUUGCAGGGUUGGUUAGGUUAGCAAAUGUGGUUGCUUGGGGAUUAUUAGUGAGUGUUUUAAGGCUAGUUUGAUGGAAAUUGUAGAAGGUUUAGGGUACAUUUUUAGGAGUCCACAAAGGAGGGAAAACCUAAACUUCACACUUAGGGUUCUUAGAAGUCACACCUAAGAGGAGAUUGC
Molecule: long non-coding RNA, 426 nt
Filed under: Populus tremula
Lineage: Eukaryota; Viridiplantae; Streptophyta; Magnoliopsida; Malpighiales; Salicaceae
Description: long non-coding RNA (PTRE_LNC000139)
Source: RNAcentral